Pelobates cultripes (western spadefoot toad) is the source of this 229-nucleotide non-coding RNA. The record is from the annotation of a GenBank genome assembly. Lineage: Eukaryota; Metazoa; Chordata; Amphibia; Anura; Pelobatidae.
AUUUGAGUUAAUAUUCCACAAUCUCAGGGGAAUACCGAUGACAUAGCGAAAGAACAUUCAAAGUUGCAUACUAAUCUGUGAUCUUUUUGAACAGGUUGUAGUGCAAAGAGUUCAUCAUUCCCUGGUGCCAUGCACAUAAUUGCUCAUAAAGAUGCACGACGCAUCGCCUCAUUGAAAGAUGCCGGUUAGAUGUUCAAUGGAUGCAAGACUUGUGAAUCUGCUAUCAUAU